AGCCAGUGGCUCACGAUUGUCAUCACUAGAGUCAUUUGAUGUCCAUCAUCAUGCAGCGGAAAUUUUAGACCCAACUGAGCGGGCUUGGGUGAAAAUGGCUAGCAAAUACAAGGCAAGCCCAUACGUCGACCCCUUAGUGAGCCGUCGGGAUGUAAAGAGCACAACGGUUAAAGCGUACGAAGCUUGCAAGAAAGACGAGUGCGCGAG
RNAcentral lists this long non-coding RNA (207 nucleotides) under Theobroma cacao (cacao). Its description in RNAcentral is "long non-coding RNA (TCAC_LNC003375)". Lineage: Eukaryota; Viridiplantae; Streptophyta; Magnoliopsida; Malvales; Malvaceae. The record is from RNAcentral.